RNAcentral lists this ribosomal RNA (551 nucleotides) under Lasiodiplodia theobromae. RNAcentral's name for it is "eukaryotic LSU rRNA". The stretch from base 176 to 329 matches the Rfam family "5.8S ribosomal RNA". The record is from RNAcentral. Lineage: Eukaryota; Fungi; Ascomycota; Dothideomycetes; Botryosphaeriales; Botryosphaeriaceae.
UAACCUUCCGUAGGUGAACCUGCGGAAGGAUCAAUUAGCCGAGUUUUCGAGCUCCGGCUCGACUCUCCCACCCUUUGUGAACGUACCUCUGUUGCUUUGGCGGCUCCGGCCGCCAAAGGACCUUCAAACUCCAGUCAGUAAACGCAGACGUCUGAUAAACAAGUUAAUAAACUAAAACUUUCAACAACGGAUCUCUUGGUUCUGGCAUCGAUGAAGAACGCAGCGAAAUGCGAUAAGUAAUGUGAAUUGCAGAAUUCAGUGAAUCAUCGAAUCUUUGAACGCACAUUGCGCCCCUUGGUAUUCCGGGGGGCAUGCCUGUUCGAGCGUCAUUACAACCCUCAAGCUCUGCUUGGAAUUGGGCACCGUCCUCACUGCGGACGCGCCUCAAAGACCUCGGCGGUGGCUGUUCAGCCCUCAAGCGUAGUAGAAUACACCUCGCUUUGGAGCGGUUGGCGUCGCCCGCCGGACGAACCUUCUGAACUUUUCUCAAGGUUGACCUCGGAUCAGGUAGGGAUACCCGCUGAACUUAAGCAUAUCAAUAAGCGGAGGAA